CCUACGGGAGGCAGCAGUGGGGAAUAUUGGACAAUGGGGGGAACCCUGAUCCAGCCAUGCCGCGUGUGUGAAGAAGGCCCUCGGGUUGUAAAGCACUUUCAGUGAGGAAGAACGCCUGGUGGUUAAUACCCAUCAGGAAAGACAUCACUCACAGAAGAAGCACCGGCUAACUCCGUGCCAGCAGCCGCGGUAAUACGGAGGGUGCGAGCGUUAAUCGGAAUUACUGGGCGUAAAGCGCGCGUAGGUGGCUUGAUAAGCCGGUUGUGAAAGCCCCGGGCUCAACCUGGGAACGGCAUCCGGAACUGUCAAGCUAGAGUGCAGGAGAGGAAGGUAGAAUUCCCGGUGUAGCGGUGAAAUGCGUAGAGAUCGGGAGGAAUACCAGUGGCGAAGGCGGCCUUCUGGACUGACACUGACACUGAGGUGCGAAAGCGUGGGUAGCAAACAGGAUUAGAUACCUAGUAGUC
This 464-nucleotide ribosomal RNA is filed under the name Vreelandella stevensii. Its description in RNAcentral is "partial 16S ribosomal RNA". It matches the Rfam family "Bacterial small subunit ribosomal RNA", at positions 338 to 795 of the family's 1533-position model. The record is from RNAcentral. Lineage: Bacteria; Pseudomonadati; Pseudomonadota; Gammaproteobacteria; Oceanospirillales; Halomonadaceae.